This 471-nucleotide ribosomal RNA is filed under the name uncultured anaerobic ammonium-oxidizing bacterium. RNAcentral describes it as "bacterial SSU rRNA". It matches the Rfam family "Bacterial small subunit ribosomal RNA", at positions 364 to 832 of the family's 1533-position model. The record is from RNAcentral.
UUCGCAAUGCCCGAAAGGGUGAACGAGCGACGCCGCGUGCGGGAUGAAGGGCUUCGGCUUGUAAACCGCUUUUUUUCGGGAAGAACGCAUCGGUCGCGAACCGGUGAGGGACGGUACCGGAAGAAUAAGCCCCGGCUAACUCCGUGCCAGCAGCCGCGGUAAGACGGAGGGGGCGAGCGUUGUUCGGAACCACUGGGCGUAAAGGGCGCGUAGGCGGUGACAUAAGUCGGUGGUGAAAUCCCUCGGCUCAACCGAGGCAUUGCUUCCGAUACUAUGUCGCUUGAGUGCGGGAGGGGAGAGUGGAACUUCUGGUGGAGCGGUGAAAUGCGUAGAUAUCAGAAGGAACGCCGGAGGCGAAGGCGGCUCUCUGGACCGUUACUGACGCUGAGGCGCGAAAGCUAGGGGAGCAAAUGGGAUUAGAUACCCCAGUAGUCCUAGCCGUAAACGAUGGGCACUAAGUAGAGGGGUUUU